GACGAACGCUGGCGGCGUGCCUAACACAUGCAAGUCGAACGGUCCGGCACUCAACCGACCCUCAGUCUAGCUGUAGGUGAAGUUGAGUGCCGGAUAGUGGCGGACGGGUGAGUAACGCGUGGGCAACCAACCCUGUACAGUGGGAUAACACCGGGAAACCGGUGCUAAUACCGCAUGACACCUAGAUGGUGCAUACUGUUUAGGUUAAAGGAUUUAACCGGUACAGGACGGGCCCGCGUCCCAUUAGCUGGUUGGUGAGGUAACGGCUCACCAAGGCGACGAUGGGUAGCCGACCUGAGAGGGUGACCGGCCACACUGGGACUGAGACACGGCCCAGACUCCUACGGGAGGCAGCAGUGGGGAAUAUUGCGCAAUGGACGGAAGUCUGACGCAGCGACGCCGCGUGAGCGACGAAGGCCUUCGGGUCGUAAAGCUCUGUUCUUGGGGACGAAGGAAAUGACGGUACCCAAGGAGAAAGCCCCGGCUAACUACGUG
Molecule: ribosomal RNA, 495 nt
Filed under: uncultured bacterium
Lineage: Bacteria
Description: bacterial SSU rRNA
Rfam family: Bacterial small subunit ribosomal RNA
Source: RNAcentral